UAUCUCUGUAGAGUCUGCAUAUCAAUAAGCGGAGGAAAAGAAACUAACAAGGAUUCCCUUAGUAACGGCGAGUGAAGCGGGAAGAGCUCAAAUUUGAAAUCUUCAAGGUUCUGACCUUGACGAAUUGUAGUUUAAAGAAGUGUUUUCGGUUAGAGGAGUAGCUAAAAGUUCCUUGGAAUAGGGACAUCAUAGAGGGUGAGAAUCCCGUAUUUGAUUAUUCAUUCUAGCUUUGUGAUACACUUUCAAAGAGUCGGAUUGUUUGGGAAUGCAGUCCAAGAUGGGUGGUAAAUUUCAUCUAAAGCUAAAUAUUGGCGAGAGGCCGAUAGCGAACAAGUACCGUGAGGGAAAGAUGAAAAGAACUUUGAAAAGAGAGUUAAACAGUACGUGAAAUUGUCAAAAGGGAAGCGUUUGACACCAGGUGUUGUUUUUCCGAAAAUCAAUUACAAAUGCUUGAUUUGCAGGUUGUAUUGACCUUAUCAGCUUCUGCACUUUGGUUUCGGAGUCUCUCUUGAUGCACUUUUCGGUUAACAAGUCAACAUCAAUUUCCUUUGUUGUAAAAGAGUAAUGCGGAAGGUGGCUUUCAAUUUCGGAUGAAGUGUUUAUAGCCCUAUACUUCUAGCAGUCGGAGAGAUUGAGGUCUGCAGCGUAGAUCCUUCGGGGUUAGAUACAUUUGUGCUAAGUUGUAGCUUUUCAUAGACAACUUGUUGACUAUGUUUAGUCAUGCGGCUUACUCGCUUAUGCUAUUUUACCUACGCUUAGGAUGUUGAAGACUCUAAGAGAUA
RNAcentral lists this ribosomal RNA (782 nucleotides) under uncultured Neocallimastigales. RNAcentral describes it as "partial large subunit ribosomal RNA". It matches the Rfam family "Eukaryotic large subunit ribosomal RNA", at positions 24 to 642 of the family's 3401-position model. The record is from RNAcentral. Lineage: Eukaryota; Fungi; Neocallimastigomycota; Neocallimastigomycetes; Neocallimastigales.